UCGAGAAUUUUUCUCAAUGGGCGCAAGCCUGAAGGAGCGACGCCGCGUGGGGGAUGAAGGGUUUCGAUCCGUAAACCCCUGUCAUUUGUGAACAAUGGUUAUCCGUGAAUAACGGAUGACUUGAUAGUAAUGAAAGAGGAAGGGACGGCUAACUCUGUGCCAGCAGCCGCGGUAAUACAGAGGUCCCAAGCGUUGUUCGGAUUCACUGGGCGUAAAGGGUGCGUAGGUGGCGGGGUAAGUUUGAUGUGAAAGCUCAGGGCUUAACCCUGAAAUGGCAUUGAAUACUACUCUGCUGGAGGUUUGGAGGGGGGACUGGAAUUCUUGGUGUAGCAGUGAAAUGCGUAGAUAUCAAGAGGAACACCAGUGGCGAAGGCGAGUCCCUGGACAACACCUGACACUGAGGCACGAAAGCUAGGGGAGCAAACAG
RNAcentral lists this ribosomal RNA (427 nucleotides) under uncultured bacterium. RNAcentral describes it as "bacterial SSU rRNA". It matches the Rfam family "Bacterial small subunit ribosomal RNA", at positions 355 to 775 of the family's 1533-position model. The record is from RNAcentral.